Molecule: ribosomal RNA, 728 nt
Filed under: uncultured bacterium
Lineage: Bacteria
Description: bacterial SSU rRNA
Rfam family: Bacterial small subunit ribosomal RNA
Source: RNAcentral
CAGGAUUAGAUACCCUGGUAGUCCACGCCGUAAACGAUGUCGACUUGGAGGUUGUGCCCUUGAGGCGUGGCUUCCGGAGCUAACGCGUUAAGUCGACCGCCUGGGGAGUACGGCCGCAAGGUUAAAACUCAAAUGAAUUGACGGGGGCCCGCACAAGCGGUGGAGCAUGUGGUUUAAUUCGAUGCAACGCGAAGAACCUUACCUGGUCUUGACAUCCACGGAAGUUUUCAGAGAUGAGAAUGUGCCUUCGGGAACCGUGAGACAGGUGCUGCAUGGCUGUCGUCAGCUCGUGUUGUGAAAUGUUGGGUUAAGUCCCGCAACGAGCGCAACCUUUAUCCUUUGUUGCCAGCGGUCCGGCCGGGAACUCAAAGGAGACUGCCAGUGAUAAACUGGAGGAAGGUGGGGAUGACGUCAAGUCAUCAUGGCCCUUACGACCAGGGCUACACACGUGCUACAAUGGCGCAUACAAAGAGAAGCGACCUCGCGAGAGCAAGCGGACCUCAUAAAGUGCGUCGUAGUCCGGAUUGGAGUCUGCAACUCGACUCCAUGAAGUCGGAAUCGCUAGUAAUCGUGGAUCAGAAUGCCACGGUGAAUACGUUCCCGGGCCUUGUACACACCGCCCGUCACACCAUGGGAGUGGGUUGCAAAAGAAGUAGGUAGCUUAACCUUCGGGAGGGCGCUUACCACUUUGUGGUUCAUGACUGGGGUGAAGUCGUAACAAGGUAACC